This 45-nucleotide ribosomal RNA is filed under the name Hydnophlebia gorgonea. RNAcentral's name for it is "partial 28S ribosomal RNA". The record is from RNAcentral. Lineage: Eukaryota; Fungi; Basidiomycota; Agaricomycetes; Polyporales; Meruliaceae.
CUGACCUCAAAUCAGGUAGGACUACCCGCUGAACUUAAUCAUAUC